RNAcentral lists this long non-coding RNA (209 nucleotides) under Medicago truncatula (barrel medic). RNAcentral's name for it is "long non-coding RNA (MTRU_LNC001591)". Lineage: Eukaryota; Viridiplantae; Streptophyta; Magnoliopsida; Fabales; Fabaceae. The record is from RNAcentral.
CAAGAUUCAACAACAACGACAACAACUCACUCAACAACGACGACAACAACUUAAUCAACAGCAACAACAACAAAUCUCUCAAGAACAACGGCAACUACAAUUAUCCAAUAUAUGUAUAUAUUUCAUAAUCAACAAUAUCAUCAAUAAUAGAUAUCUAAUUCAUCAAUUAAAUCUAACACCCUGUCAUAAUAAUAAUUCAUCAAUAUAUA